CUGCACAAGGGCAGCUGGAAUCUGGGAACCUUACCUGCAGCACCAAUACCUAAGAGAAAUCGCGCUUCCCUGACACUAACACGCCAUGCCAUCCCCACGCACCCUGCCAAAGUCCUGUAACCAUCUACUUCUUCCAUCUGCCUAAGAGAAACUGUAAACGGGAUUUCCCCCCCACGAUUGAAUGGAAGCUCUGUACUGUACCGACUUCUGGAUUUGCCCUGGGUUGAGUUUAGGGAAUGUCUGGAAAGAAAAAAAGGGAGGAAAAAAGGAGGGGGGCAGCUCAAGCCUUGUCCAAGUUAGUCAGAAGGCGGUGUUAGGCAGGAAAGCGCCUACGGGAAAAACAGCUGGGAUGCAGACGGGCUAUGGAAAUCUCAGUUCUAGGAACCGUGUCCUUUCGUCCCGGAGGUAAGAUUGUGUGACUGCCUCACGUUUAUUCUUUCACUGUCUGUGUCUCUCUUCCCCACCCCCAACUACCCCUGCCACUCAGAUCAGCCGGCAUGCACCCUGGAGAAGGGCACAAACACGGCGGGGGCUUUAUUUUUCAGGUCUCUCCACUCAUAAAUUAUGGGUGUCACUAAAACGAGAUUAGCAAAUCUUCUACCGCUGGCGGCGGCAACCAGAGCCUCUGUCUUGCCAGUUGCGCACUCUGAGACAUCUCUCGGUGCAGAGUGGUUCCGAAGCCCCAGCCCGCUGGGUCGCUCGGCCUGAGGGCUCAGGUGAUGGAGAGGAGGCUCGCGGCGUCCCAAACGGGUUCGGCCAAGGGUUUCCACCCCAUCACCACUUCCCGCUGCCUCCACGCGCGCGCGCGGACCCACGAGCACACACACACGCACGCACACACACAGACACGCGCGUAUUCUGAAAUUCUGGCCGAACUCCUCAUCUAAACGGAAGUCCCUUUACAGUCAAUUCAGCCCGCUCCAGAGCAUCGGGGAAACUAGACUGUUCCGUGGAUGAACUGCGAGGAUGCCGGCGGUCAGGCUUGGCCGAGCUUUGUUUACGUGCCUAAGUCGCCACCUUGAGGUCGAGGGGAAGACUGCGCCCAGCUAGGGGCUGUAGAGACGAACCCAGCUGACACUGGCCCAGCAGCCUUGGCGACCUCCCGGGACCGCCUGAAAGAGAAGCAAAGGGAGGGCGCCCUGCGGGCGGGCGGGCCACGCUAGGCGCCGUCUGCCCUCAGAGACUCGGGCUGACAGGAGUGAGAGCUAAAACUUCCAACUAGCUGAAACCAAUAGCCGGGAAUCGAGCGAAGGCGAACUCUCCCAGCAAAGUAUAAAGCUUCGGGCCAAAGAGUCUGCAGCUCCAAGUCAGGGGCUGCGGCUCCGAAACUCCAAACACUAACUCCCAGGGCAGUGGCAGAGGGUGGGGGCAGCUUCGAAGAGGCAUACCAACUGCUCCGGUCCUGGCCGAAGACCGAGCUCCCUUCUGCGGUGACCUCGGCUCAGAGCUGACUCCGUACUCCCUGGGACUCAUCUCCCGCUUCCUCUCCACCUUCGGAACAGUAGACAAAGGGACUCAGGGACGCGGCCAGACCCAAGGUCACAAACGGAGGUCUCCGAGACGAGAAUUGCGUGCAAGAGAAGGACGUUCAGGCAGCCCGGCCGCCUGCUGCGAGAGCUGAACAUUUCCCAGCUCUAUAGUCGCCCAUUUCUCAGGAAAUCAGUCCUUCUGAGUGUCUAACAAUGGAUUAGAUCUGUGUGUUGGCUGUGACUCUGUUGGGCUCUACUGGACUUGGCUGGGCUCAGCUUCAGACUUGAGGUCAUGUUCAGAUGUUCUCCAAGUACCUUUUCAUUCUGGGUUCCAGGCUGAAUUAACAGCCUCACCUGGGACAAGGUGUUUUUAUGACAGAGAGAAAAAGCACAAGAGUUCAAGACAAAUCACACAAACAUAUUUAAAGCCUCUGCUCAGAUGUGGCAUUGGAUACAUCCCCAUAAACUCUACUGGCAAAACAAAGACACACAGACUUGUGGCAAAGCUCUAAGUCAAUGGCGAAGAGAAGCACUGGCCUUCAGGCACAUUGACGCUGGGAUUCUAGGAUGCAGAUGGUAGGGAUUAGAUACAACUUCCUGAGCUGGCAGUGAAAGGACUGACGUUUGGUUCCCUAUAACUUGGGGAGGGGCUGGUAAAGGUAAGACACAAGAGAACUAAGUGCCCAUACUUGAUCCCAGCUAAAUCAAUCUUCCUAGCAUUCCACCCAGAAAGGAUUUUGACAACUUUAUUAAAUGAAACUGGGAAGUGAAGAUUAGGCUCAGUGGAGCCAGAUUGGAAUCCAGACAACAUGGCUUAAGGAAAAAGAGGAAACACGAAAGGUGACAUAAAGGGCAAAAGAAUGAAAUGGAGCCUGAAGACAUUUACAGGCAAGAUUAACAAAAAUUGAGCCUGAGUUCUGCAAUUCACAGUCCUAAAACUAUUUUUUAUUUAUCCUGCUCAGUACUCAAAGUAUACUUUUGAUAUGGAAUAAAUCUUUUCUCAAUUCUGGAAAAUUUUUAGCUAUCUUUGUUUAGAAUAUUGCUUUUUCAAAAUUUUCUUCAUUCUCUUGUUCUGAAACUCGUACUAGAAAUAUGUUAGCAUUGCUGAUCUUUCUUACAUGCCCCUUCACUGGCUCUGUCAUGUUUUUUAUCUCUAGGUUUUAGAUGAAAUCAAUAGUACUAGCUGGUUAAUUCACUCAUCAGUUCCUCGAUUAUGCCUAGUAAAGAACUUUUUUCUGGCCAGGCGUGGUGGCAUACACCUACUUGAGAGACUGAGGCAGGAGGAUCACUU
RNAcentral lists this long non-coding RNA (2760 nucleotides) under Homo sapiens (human). RNAcentral's name for it is "HSALNT0361660". The record is from RNAcentral. Lineage: Eukaryota; Metazoa; Chordata; Mammalia; Primates; Hominidae.